RNAcentral lists this ribosomal RNA (252 nucleotides) under uncultured bacterium. RNAcentral describes it as "partial 16S ribosomal RNA". It matches the Rfam family "Bacterial small subunit ribosomal RNA", at positions 524 to 775 of the family's 1533-position model. The record is from RNAcentral.
UACGUAGGUGGCAAGCGUUGUCCGGAUUUACUGGGCGUAAAGAGCGCGCAGGCGGUCGUUCAAGUCGCGUGUGAAAGCCCACGGCUCAACCGUGGAGGGUCAUUGGAAACUGGGGAACUUGAGUGCAGAAGAGGAAAGUGGAAUUCCAAGUGUAGCGGUGAAAUGCGUAGAGAUUUGGAGGAACACCAGUGGCGAAGGCGACUUUCUGGUCUGUAACUGACACUGAGGCGCGAAAGCGUGGGGAGCCGAACG